This 674-nucleotide long non-coding RNA is filed under the name Ananas comosus (pineapple). RNAcentral's name for it is "long non-coding RNA (ACOM_LNC026797)". Lineage: Eukaryota; Viridiplantae; Streptophyta; Magnoliopsida; Poales; Bromeliaceae. The record is from RNAcentral.
GAAUGUUCGUUUUUCCUUAACAAGUCCACUGAAAUUUUAACAUUUCAGUUUCGACCCCGUUUGGUCACUGUGAACUGUCCCGAACUGUAAUCUUUAUCAGAUAACUUCCAGAUGCUAUUUCUCUCUCUACAGGUGUCAGAAAAAUCUGAAACUUCAAAUCUAGCCUCAUAAUAAUGUUCCUGACAUCUCUGCCAAUUUUCGUAAUUUUCUGACACUGUGCAUUUUCUGCUAAUUUUCUCAGUCCCGUUCUUUACAGAAAAUUCUACAUUUUCCGUUUUCACUCCGAUUUCUUCCAAACACUUCCAAAAUAUACCAAGGGACCUUCACAAGCUACCAAGUCAAUUUGGAAGCAAUUCCUUUUUCAUUUUGACAUUAUUGGAGCCGAAUCAGCAAUAGAAGCAGCUCAUAUUGCACUUUCUCCUUUUUUUUUUGCACUACCACUUCACACUGAGCUCUUCAAAACCCUUUGAAAACACACCCGUGGCUCUACCAACACUUCACAAUUGCUUCGGAGAUACCACAAUUUAUCCUCACGCCUUACUUUAAUUCUUUUAAUCAAAGUUAGCGUCGGAAAUCCGAAAAUUCUCUUUAUAUUUCGUUUCGCGCCCAAUUUGCGCCGAAACACUUAUUUAUCUCCAGAAUUCAUUCACACGCAUCACAAUUCACUCGAGGAU